UAGGUCCCCCAUGACUACCGCCUCUUUAGCUUUUAUGGUCUCCGAGAGUUGCUUCAGGAGCCCCGCAUCUAUUUCUUCCCCUUGGUGUGGGGGUCUGUAGCAGACCCCUACCACCAAAUCCCUUUCUCCUUGCCCCCCAUGUAGCCUAACCCACAAUCCUUCUACUUCCUCAACCUUGGAUUCUGUCUUGAUGAGGGUUGAUGUAUAUUGCUCACUGACAUAAAGUGCAACCCCCCCCCCCCCCUUUCUUCCCCGACCUUUCCUUUCUGUACAAUCUAUAGCCCUCAAUAUGUACCGCCCAGUCAUGGGAUGAAUCCUACCAGGUCUCUGUUAGCCCCACUAAGUCAUAGGUGUUUAGUGCAAGCAGGAGCGCUAGUUCAUCCUGCUUGUUCCCCAUGCUCCUAGCAUUAGUCUAUAGGCACUUGAGCCCUGCGACUGGCGCCUUUGCUGCCGCCCCGCUCCAAGUCCCAAGGGGCCCAUUGUUUCUGACCUUCUUGUUUCUUACCUGUUCUGUAGUGCUGGUCUCCCCAUGGCUUUCAGGUCUCCAGUGUUCUCCUUCUUCAGGCUGGGCUGUCCUUGUGGGUGCCACAUGGUUUGGUGGUCCACAGCUUCCCCUGCCCUCGUACUCCCCUCCCCCCGACGAGCCUAGUUUAAAGCCCGCCAACCUAGUAGAAAACACACGCUUACCUUUGGGGGACAGGUGAAGCCCUUCCCAGCUGAGCAUGUCCCUCGUCGUGAUGUGCGGGUCAUUGUCCAGGAAGCCGAAGCCUGCCUCGAGACACCACUGCCGAAGCCGCCAGUUGGUUUCUCGGAUGCAGUUCUCCUGCCGUCUUCCUCGUCCGGUCACUGGUAGGAUGGAAGAGAAAACCACCUGUGCACCGAACUCCUUCAGCACGCCACCCAGAGCACUGUAGUCUGCCAUCAGUGUCAGCGAGGAGCUGCAGCGUGAAAGAAGUGGGACUUAUAUCCAAGGCACCACGGGUAACAGGUGAAAUAUCCAAGGCACCACGGGUAACAGGGACGGCACGAUGUGCCACAGGCUGGACAGUGCCCGGGCCAGGCGGGACCGAGGAACAGACAACGUCUCUCCCCGUGCUGGAUCUGGCCUGUCGACAGUAUUUUGUGCGUGCGGAUGCACACGUUACACCCCGGAUGGCUCUGGAGAAGUAGAAGAUAAGCUGGAGCAAGUUCCUUCAAAAAAAUGUACACCGGUCUAUCGAGAUAUUAAUAGUCAGUCACUUCUGCUGACAGCAGCUACGUAAAGCAAAGAAUGCGUAGGCAUACACGGUACCGGGCGGGAAGGUGCCACGGCCCCUUGCAAUCCAUCCCCCAGGUUUGAGGGCGGUUCCAGAAUCCCGCAUCUCUACCUUUUGUGCGGGGGUUUUAUAGAGUUCAGGUUGAAAUUUCUGUAUUCCACCCUGUUUGUCUGAGGUAAGGAGCGCUCGGCCAAUAGAGCGGAGAGCAGGGAAACUGAGGCGAGGCCUGGGACCCUUCGUCUUUCCGGAGGUUGCCUCGUUAGCAUCGCACGUGAUUACUGACCUAUAUAUCUCAACUCCCUCAAGACUUCUCUCACAUGCUACUCAUGGUGUUUCAGACUGAACAGCUUCUGGGAUCAGAGUAUUGGGAAGGAGGAGAAACGUAGCGUAGCAGAAGAAGGGCGCGGAGUGUUCGGGACUCCCUAAAAAUCCUCACCUUAGACUCGAGCAGACACUUUGUACUUUAGCAGCGACAGAUUACGGUUCUGCAUCGAGGGGCCUCGUUUGUCCACUAAGUAUAAUCAUUCCAGUUAAAAUUGCCAGAUAUUUUUUCUGAGAGUAUGAGUUGGGGUGGAAUAGGUUUUUUGGGUUUUUUUUUUUUUUACCUUUUAGCCAGUAGCAUUUCAGCCUGGAUUUCCUUGGCUGAUCUCAGCAUAUCCAGUGUCCCAUUUGGGGCUCUUGUUGCUCGGCCCUGAAAUCGCUUGGAGUUUAUGAGAUGACUUUUCUUUAUACAGUUUCAGCUGUGCGUGAUGGACGUAGAGGGUGUUUUUAAUCAGUCACGCACGUUAUGGAGAACCAGGUAGUGUUCAGUCUUUUGACAGACAAGCCUACAGUUCUGUUAUGGUGAGGACAGUUUUGCAGGUUAAGACAACAUUCUAGGUAAGUAUCCAUUCCUUUACUUAUUACCAGGGAUCCUGCUUUUCUCAGAAGAAAAAACAAAUCACAAAAUCUCUGAAUAGCCCCCCAAAUCCACCUUUUUUCACGACCAAAAGGAAAUGCCACUAUAUAUAUAGGGAUUGGUUGAACACUGUUUUAUUGAUAUGUUUCCAAUGUUAAAUCCACUUGGAAUCUUACCAGUGCACAACCCCGUGGCCGUUCCUGUACUCGUCACUCUCCACCCAUGGCCCCCUAGCCUGCCAGUGCCCCUCAGUUGCCAAGCAUGGUCCCUUGGGCCCUGGCAGUGCCCCUCAGUUCCCACCCACAGCCACAUGCUGCACCCCCUCCCAGCUGCCAGGGUUACUGGAUCAGGGUCCUGGAUGUGUCAGGCGGCAGCUGCUGUGGCCUGAGUGGGGAGCGGAGCACAGCUCCCGCUUUCAUGGAUGGCACAGCCUGAGUAGAGCCUGUGCGGGGUGCAUGCAUGCUAUCUGCUGUGGGCUUGGGCACUUCACUCUGUUGCCCUUCCCCUGGGGUUUCUGGAGCCCAGUGGGCAGGACCCAGCAUGGAAGUAGAGAGCAGGGAUGGGCAGGGAAGAUUGGUGCCGCCCCUGCAAGUCCCACGCUAUCAUGGUGAGGCACCCUGUGCCCACCCAGCAGCAGCAAGGGGAAGAACUCUGUGCUGCCACCCCCAGUGCUCUCUGGCGGGCAGGGGGUAACUUGCUGCGGUACUGUAGGGGUCACGGUUGUGGCACUGAGCUUCUGUGCCCUAUAUUGCCCUCCUGUGCCAGCUCUCGCCCACUGGGCCACAGAGGCUUUGCAGAGAGGUCAGCAGGGUUGGAAGACCAAGCCUGCAAUGGGCAUCCUGCCCCCAGUGUGCAUAAAUUGGGGGCAUGUGCACCCCAUCUGCCUCAGGAGUGUGUGCAGUGCCAGGCAGUCAAGCCCCCCCUGCCCGCUCCUCACCUAGGCCCUGUAGCUGUGCUUGGCAGCACCAGGCCCCAUGCUUGGGCACAGCUGGGCAGCAGCCCCAGCCCUGCCCAAGUCCCUCACUCCUCAUUUAUGGGGGCCUCAAUUCGCCUCCUCCCGCCACACCUGACUUACAUGUGGGGACCCACUCUCCAGCCUGUGGGCAGGCAUGUACCUGUGUACAUGGUCACAUGCACAUAGCACCCCUUUGUGACCCCUCCUCCUGUUCCCCUGAGCACCUUGCAGGAUGGAAGUCUGGCAGCCUGCAAGGAGAAUCCCACCACUGGUCACGCUGUUACCCUUUAGAGGAGAAAAUCUGGGGGGCUGGGUGUCGGCAAAUAAAAACCUAGGUUUCCGGACUAGCCCAGGGAUUGACACGACACUCGGUUUGAGGAGCGACAGAAAGGCUUUAUUUACUACAAGUAUUUAAGAUCAAGUCGGGCGAAUCCAAACCAAAUCUAAGUCCAGUAAUUAGCCGUAAGGUGACGAUUUCUCGCCAAACAGGCGACAAAGAGGCGGUCUGUUUCUCUUCACCUUGUAGAGUAAGUUGGGCGUAUUGGCAAGCCGUGUCAGAGAGAUGUUUUUCACUCCUGAAACGUGUGUGUGCUGUGUGCCGUUUUACUUUUUAUCCCUUUACUUUAGCAUCUUCAAAGCAUUCUUUUAGUUGCGUAAAUCAAGACGGAGUCCCAAACAGUAACCGACAGGAAAAACCUGCCGAUUACCGGUUAUCGGACAUUUCUAAUGCGAACGAGUUAGCUUCUUCGGUGACGAGAGGUUAUUCAGUUUGGAACGUAUCGAGAAACCGAUUAACCGCUAGGAAAAACAUACUAAAUCAGGAGGAGGCAGCUAUUACAUAUGGAGAAUGUGUUUCGGCAUAUAAACGCGACUUAGUCGGAAAAGAGAUAUUUAUCGUGCUAAUUAAUUGAGGAUAGACGUUUCGUACGUUUACACGCCAGACAACUAAGAGUCUGUGUGAAAUCAUCCUGAAUGUAGCCCGAUAAGAUGGAAGAGACUUCAUAAUUCUUUCUUAGAUGGCCUGGCCAUGAAAUUGCGUUGUCUUGCAUUAUGCAGUUAGCAUUAUUAUUCAGUAUGUUAACUUUUGUGAGUAGGGCCAAGCUGUACAUGAUUUUCAGAGUCAUUACUGGGUCGGGGUCCUUAAGGUGACAAACUGGGUUUUACUGCAUUUUUCCUUGGUGAAUGCAAAACCCGGGUCCCUGCCAAUUACCCUUUUUGUACGUGAAGUGAAGACGCUAUGACACUUGCCAGUGAUGCUCUUGGCGUGUAAAGGAUUACAACCCUCCAACUUGGAUAAAGCAGCUAGAGACAGGGCUAGAACAUGCACUUUUAUUGAUCACACCUCGAGGCAUAAGAAUAUAAACCCUUUGUGCUAUGCCUACCUAGUGACUUGUCACACCACAAUACAGAUUGCCCAGUCUACCGGCUGGGGGAGAUGCAGGAGGGAGGAGGAGGCUGACAGGAGGUUGUCUCCACUUUUGCAAAGGUCUUUGUACUUUCCCUUUUGUUUAAACCUAAUUUUUACGUGGGCUUUUUAAAUCGAUAAUCCGACGGGCGUCACGUAGACUCGUUUUGCUGAAACUUUGGGACCGGGACCGAACCCAUUUUCCUGUGCCCCGCAGGACCUGCCCCACGGGGACCAGCCCAUGGCUGGGGCCCGUGUCCCUGGGAAAACUCCGAGUUUGGAAGGGAGGAACACUGCUCAUCUCUUUCCCGGCCUGCCUGGGAAUGCUCCUCCUUGCCUUGUGUUUGUUAGCCUCUGCCAUUUAGACCUAUUUUAACUUGUAACAGGGUCACAAAACCAAAUGCCAGUUGCUGCUCGUAGCUGCUGUUUCCCACCGUUCCAGAAAGCAGCUACUCGCUCUUGGUCUUGUCUGGUAUCAAAGUCUUGAGAAACAGAAUCUUAUUCCACUGUUUUUGGCCGUUCCUUGGGAUAUAAGUGUAGGCUCACGGCCUAUUGCUUGUAUGCCAGCUUAAGCACGUGUCAUUCUUAAGUUAGGCUUCUGGUAGGUGUGUAGUCUGCAAUACUGAGCGUGGUCUGUCAGGCCCUGACCAUAUUUUCAGUUUACACCGAGGGGAAUCUGCCCAUAGCCUUCCUUCCCCUUUCUCAUCACCAUCUUCGUAACAUCCCUGCCUCUUUACUUGUUGCUCAUUUCAGGAGCUGUUGUGUGCCAGUGCUUCUGUUCCCUGGUGCUUUCCCCGGGUACCCACCCUGUCUCCUGUACGUGGUGGAGGACCGGUUUAAGGAGUUGCACGGAGGGCCUCACAGAAGUCCUGUGUGGUCAUGGGUUUACAAUGAAGACUUGCAGCUGUGUGUUGCUAUUUCUGGGGUGUGCCGUGUGUGAGGCGCAGCUGUCAGAGGAACGCUUUGGAGAUGUCGCUCACGCAGGGAAGCAAAAUUGUUCUGCUUCCCACUACUGAGCUUUAAUGAUACCUGUGAGACAUCACAUCCCCUGUCCAAACCUGAGCCAUCUGAGCAGGGGAAGUGGCAUGGGAGGGGGGCCAAGAUACCUGGUUGACAGCCCAGACUGCAAGUUGAAGGCUGCAAUGGAAGCGCUCAGAGUGUGGCCUGUCAGAUUCCAACAAAAUCUGUCAAGUCUUACAUGUAGCUUAUCACAAGGACACGAAAAAGAAAAGGACGUGAGCAGGGGCCCAUGUUAGAGUCUUAGUGCAUUGGUCAGCGAUUGGGGGUGAGGGGGUGCAUGUCCCUCCUUCACUGCUUGUGUGUUGACUGUCAUUGUUAAAGGACCAGGGUUGGGGGCGGGGGCAUUCUUGGCUGCUUGGCCAAGUGCCUGGGGGAAGAGCUAGGAGGGAGGGAGAGGUUCAGCAACCCCGGACUGGCCAGGUCUCCCCCUGCCUCCCACAGGGCUGCGCUACCUGCUACUGGCAGUGACUCUGCCUGGAGCAGUUGGCAGGCCCUUGUAAGCAGCCUGCACUGCUUGGGAGAUGCGGGCUGUGACACCUUGGUUUUCUGGACUGCGGUGAGAAAGCAAACAGCCUUGUAGUACAGGCUUCAGUUGUGGGACUGCACCCUGUUGUUGAGACCCCCCCAGGGGCUUAUUUCUUGUAUGUCCAUGCAGGAUAGUUGGGGGGGCGGGGAAUGGAAGGAAGAGGCACGGAUGAGCCCUGCAUCUUUCAUUCAGCAAAUUUCCAUAAGUAAUGUUAGUACUACUAAUAUUAUCCCUGUUCUGAUUCUUACUAUUACUAUUAUUUGUUUUCCCAUAUACUUUGCCAACAAAGCACCUGGCAGGUCCAGUAAGAAAAGGAAGUUUCCAAACAGGUGACAGAAGGAAACCAAAUGAUUUAAGCAUGCAAGUGGUGGUGGCGGCGGUGUUGUUGGGAAGGUUCAGGAACCACGGGGGAGGCAAGAUUUUUGUUAUGUCUCGUGUGGCAACAACAGCACGGUUUGGACGGACAGAAGCAAGGUUUUAGGCAUCCCAGUCCCCUUUUUCAGUCCUGGUUCCUUCCCAGCAACCUGAGGAAAUGUACUGUCAUACCCCAAAGGUUGCCUGUAUCUAUGCCCAUCUUACAGUUGGUCUGGUAAAACAGGGGUCAAAAAACCUAUGGCCUGUGGUUUGGAUCCAGCCUGUGAAGAAACUGGUUCUAGCCUGUAGCAGUUCAACCAAGGAGCAGCACACUCCCAUGGUGACAGCAGCAGGGACAUCCCCAGCGGCCUGUUGCCACUGCGUUCAGUUUGUUCUUUGUGCUGCAGCAGAAGCAGCCUCCCCAGGGUCCCGGCCCCUGCCUUUUUCUUCUGAGUCCCUUCACAGCCUGUGGAGAUUGCUGGGGAGCAACCUGUCCCGUCGGCAAUGGUGCAUAACGGCAAAAGAACGGCCCUUCCCUGCAAGGAAAGAUUGCACCUAACUCCAAGCGAGCAGAGCAGAGCAGAGCAUGGACACAGAGCGAGAUGCUCAUCAGUAGGGUAGUCUGGCCUUGCCGUUGCUAGGAGUGCCCAAGUAGGGAGGUGUUGGAAUAAUUUCUCAGCUUUUUCCCUAGAUCGCUGUAAGAUGAGAGGGGAGCGCUAAGCACACUUGGGUUCGUGCACGCUCCCCAUCGUUUUCAGAAGCGGACGGCAGGAGAAAGUUUGCGGUCAGCGAUAGCAGCACAAGGCCAUGCAACCAGGCUGGGGAACGUGGGGCUCUUUCCUAAACCAGGAGUGGCAGGACUUGCACAGCUUUGCCAGGAUCCUGGCUGUUGUGGAGAGACUUUGGGUUGGAGAUGGAUGCAAAGAAGUGGAGGCGUGCCAUGGUGAUGGAGGAUAGAGCAGGAGGAGUAGCGUGAUGGAAGGUGGACUUACCUCAAGCGGGGGUGGUGUUUUGAGUGGGGGUGUCUGGGUGGGCUGGGAAGUCCCUGCUCUGGGUUGGUGUCCUGAGCUGCAUGCUCCCAGGGCAGGGCUACUCAAGCGGAGGGCCAUGGCACCCAGGAGUGCCUCUGAGAUGAGUGGUGUACGGCUGGGCUGGCUUGGCCCAGAGUUGCUCUGAGUCUGUGCAAAGAUCUCCAGGUUACGGUGGGACAGAGGAUUGGGUCUCUGCCUGGCUGUACCUGUUGCCACAUGCCUCCUUUCAGUGCUGGGAAUUGCAUUUAUGUCUCAUCUCUCUGGGUGUCACUGGUGUCUGUCUUUGUACUUCUGUUCUUAAAAAUCACUGCAGCACUUGUUACUUUGUUCUUCCCAGGACUGAAAGGAGGGUUGUGUUUGCAUUUAAAUUGAUCCCCUCACUUGGGAGGGGUGUAGCUGCAGCCCCCUGCGGUUUGUUAGUGGGGCCAGUCCAAGCUGCUGUUGUACCCCUGGUUGGGAGGGAGGGGGUGCUGUCCCGUUGGUGCUGUGAGACCUGCGCAUAGCGCUGCAAGUGUUAAUUGCUGUUCAUUUUUGGUGGUGUGGACAUGUUUGGCAAGGUGAUCAAAGUCUGGUCCUGAGUGGAGAAGAGCUGAGUAAGAGGUGAAGAUCCCUGGAGCUGGUAUGGUGUGGAAGGCGUUGGAGAUGGCCCGAAGCCAUGCUCAUGUGAUCACCUGGAGCGAGGUAUUUGCUUCUUGCGGGUUGCAGCUCUGGACGGACAGAUCCUGCAGCUGCAGGUGCCUGCAUCGUAUCUGGGAAAGGGAUGGCAAGCAUGAGGACUGACGGCGCACAAGGACUGAAAGUGCAGCUUGAUGCCAGGUGUGGGUCCUGGUGUUCCUGGAAGGAAAGGGUGAGGGCACAGGGACCGGAGCAGAGCAGCGGUAACGGAACCAGAGGAUCAGGAUGCUAGAAGGUGUUUCGUGUUUGGGAUGAGGAGCCACCUUGCCAAGGCUUCAGGCACUGAAGACGAGGUGAAGAGCCGCAGAGAUGGUGGAGGAGGAAACGGGCAGCUGUCUCGUGACUUCCCAGUUUGUGUGGUGUGAGGCCUCUGCCCCUGUGACGUCACCUGUGUGGAGCCUGCGGUCAUGCUGUGUGUACGGUGGUUUCUGUGAUACAUCACGUUUUGAGUGCCUGUGACUAUCCAGCUCCGGGAGGCCGCAGACAAGCCUUUGAGAGCUCGGGUAAAGCCUGUAUGCAUCUUGUGGGGGAAGAGGGACACAGGGAGUUCUGUGCCAUGCUGGUGGAAGAGGAAGGAAAACAAUGCUUAAAGAGGCGAGCCGAGGUAGAGGUAAAGCGACCUAGAGCCACAACGUUUUGGGAGGUGGAAGACACAGGGGACUGCGCUCCGAUGGUGACUUCUGGGUCACUUGGAAGGAAGGCCUCUGUCCUUUUGCUGGAGUUGUGUGCAUGAGCAGAGCGUGCAGAGGUGCCUGUGUACCCUGUGCAGAGAGGAAGGCAAUCGGGGACAAGGCUGGGCUGGAGAAGGAGCAGAAUUAUGCUAGUUUGGGAUCCUGCCCUGCGUGGAGGGAAAUGAAUGCCGGUUCAGGGAGUGGAGCCAAGCAGUGCCCAUGGAGGCGGAAGCAGGAGGAAUUGAAUGCCGUGAGGUGUGUUGGCGCUGCAUGGGCAGAUCCAGUAGUUGGGUCCUGGCGUGUGUGGAAGGAAAGGGUGAGGACACUGGAGCAGAGCAGUGGUAAUGGAGCCAGAGGAUCAGGAUGCUAGAAGGAGCCAUCUUCUGAAGGCUUGAGGGCUGUGAAGCAGACACUGUGAAGAUGAAGUGAAGAGUCCCAGAGAUGGUGCAUGAGGAAAUGGGCAGCCUUGUCAUGACUUCCUGACUUGCGUGAUGUGAGGCCUCUUCUCCUGUGGCAUGACCUGGCUGGACUCCUGGGGAGGUUUUGUGUGUGUAGCUUCGCAGGCGGUGCAUCUCUGCUCCCACUUCCUGCUGUGAGGACACCUGGAUAAGGAGCAGCAUGAUUGUGGCUGGCUGUGCGGCCUCAAUGUUGUGGGGGAGAGGAAUAGAAGUGAGUUUUCUACGGUGGUGGUAGAAGAUGGAGGAACUGGAUCCCGAAAGGUGGGCUGGGUUAAAGUGGGAGGCUGGGUUGCGUUUUCCCUGGUCAUAUUUGGGUGGGGGAGGAAACCCCUAGUGUGUGAUGGGGUCUGGAGCUCUGUGCUGUCUGGGGAGUGAUGCUGAAGCAGGGAACUGUGGCCCUUAGGGAUGCUGCAGAGCAGGGGGUCUAAGCCUGAUUUUGGUUUAGCUUGGGGUUGAGUCCUGACUGCUUGUAAAGGCUGGAAAUUGUCCUUGAGUAUAUUAGGGGUUUCAGUGUUUGCCCCUGGCUUCUGGGUGCAGAUGACGGCAUUGGAUGUGCCGGGGCAGAGGAGCGGGUGCGUGCGUGGCUGCCUCUGCCUGGCUGUUGCUGCUGCCACUGGUCUCCCUUCAGUUCUGGGAAGUGCACUCUGUCCUAUGUCUCUGGGUGUGUCACUGGUGUUUCUUUCUACUUUGAUAUCUAAAAUCACAGCAGCACUUCUUUCUUUGCUCUUCCCAGAGCUGGAAGGAUAGGUGUGUUUGCAUGUAAAUUGAUCCCCUCCUUUGGGUGGGCUUUGACUGCACCCUGUGUGCCUCAUAUGCGGGUGGGGGUGUUAUGCUUUUGGUGUCCUAGAUUGCGGGGGGCAUUGUGUCUGUGCUGUCAGUACUAUGAGAUGUGAAUACUGUUGUGUGUAGUAAUUGCUUGUUGUUUUGGGUGUGAUGUCAAUGUGUGGAGUGUGAGCAGAGAAGAGCUGAGGGGAAGAGGUGAAGAGACCUAGAGCCAGUGCUACGUAGAAGCAGGUGGUCAUGCAGCCAUGCUCACUUCUGGGUCACCUAGAGGGAGGCCUCUGCCCGUUUGGUGGAGCUGUGUGCAUGGGCAGAGCCUGCAGUGGGAGGUCCCUGCGUCCCCUGUGUGGAGAGGACGGCAAGGAGGGAUGAGAGUGCACUGGAGGAGGAGUGUGAUGCCAGGUCCCAUGAGUGCAGUCUCUUGGGGUGAGGCCCUUCUCACAGAUGGAUGGGUGCACCCUGGCCAGGCACGUCUUGGAGAGCUGUGAGCUGGGGCCUGGGGUCCUGACCUGUGCAGAGGGAAAUGACUGCCGGUUGAAGGAGUGAAGCUGAGCAGCGCCCACGGAGGAUGAAGCAGGAGGAACUCAAUGCUGCACGGUGUGUCGGUGCUGGAUGGGCAGGUCUGGCAUUUGGUACGAAAUGGCUCGGAGCAGUCUAGGGUUUUCGGAGCCUGGCAGUUAGUUUUUGUUUUGCUCUUUGUUGCUAGUUGUGCUGAGGUUUUUCCUUGGAAGCCUCAGCUGGUGCCAGUCUCCCGUAUGGGGUGGGGAUGGCAAGCAAGGAUGCAUGAGGGCUGGAGGAGAAGCGUGAUGCCAAGUGUGGCAAGUGCUGGCGGUCAGGGGUGAGGCCUUUCCCCUUGUGUCUGUACCCUGUGUGUGCCCUUAGUAGUGGGGAGAGGUGCUCCCUUGGCUGGACGUGUAGGGUGGGAAUGCCUCCACAAAGAUCAGGACCCUGGACCGGAGUUCAGCCCAAGGAGCAGAAGUAAACGCAGGAGAAGGAAGCCACUGAGGAGAAGGGAGAGGGCGAAGGACUGGAGCAGAGCAGUGGAGUCCUCUUGCCAAGGCUUCAGGACUGUGAAGCAGAGACUGGAAGAAGAGGUGAAGAGCCCCAGAGAUGGCGGAGGAGAAAACGCACAGCUGUCUCCUGACUUCCCAAUUUGUGUGGCGUCAGGCCCCUGGCCCUGUGGCAUCACGCGGUUGGAACCUGCGGUGUGUCUGAGCUUCCUCGGAGCGGUGCGAUGUCUUCGUUUCCCUGUCUGACCGUUUCUUUCACAGUUGUUCUAUCAUGUUUGCAGGAUGUACUGUGUGUAUGGUGGUUGCUGUGGUGCAUUGCUUUUUGAUGCGCUGUGACUAUCUGGCUCUGGGCGGCCACAGGCAAGCCUUUAAGAGCUCAGCUAGCGAGUAGUGGGUCUGGAUGUGUCUGCCGGGUGUUUGCAGAGGAGCUUUCCCUGUCUCUAGCUUUGUGCCGUUUCUUCUGCUCUCUGGGCUGGCUAGGUUUCUGUUCUUUUUCCAGCAUAGUCUAUCUUGAUGGGGUGAAGGAUACAGGGAGUACUGUGCCACAGUGUUGGAAGAUGAAGGAACAGAAUACUUAAAAGUGGGCUUGGUUAGGGAGGGGUGGUGGGGUGGUGGUGAGUGGUUUCUUCCCUGUGGUUUUUUGGGUGAGGGAGCAAACGCCUAGUGUCUGAUAGUGUCUGGCGCUUCUUGUUUCCAGCAGGGUUCUGGCCUCCUGGGGUGCCCCAGAGCUGGGUGGUGUAAGCCUGGGUUGGGUUUAGCCUGUGUGUGUGUCCUGGCUCUCUUUGUACAGGCUGACAAUAAUCUUUGAGUAUAUAGGUGGUUUCAGUGUUUGCCCCUGGCAUCUGGAUGGAGAUCUUGUCCCUGGGUGUGGUGGGGCAGAGGAGCGGGUGCCUGUCUCUCUGCCUCUGCCUGCCUGUUGCUGCUGCUGGCCUCCCUUCCGUUCUGGGAAGGGCACUUUGUUCUGUCUGUCUGGGUUUGUCACUGGUGUUUCUGUGUACUUGGAUUUUGAACAUCAGUGCAGCACUUGUUGUUCUUGCUUUCCUAUUCCCAGAGCUGGAAGGAGGGCUGUGUUGGCAAUUAAAUUGGUCCCCUCCUUUGGGAGGGGUCUGAAUGCACCCUAUGUUGCUUGUUUGGGGCAGUUGCUUGUGCUUUGUCCUUUUGUUUGGUAGUGAACUUUCCCCAUGUGCUGUCAGGAGGUUCCUGCAUCCUGUGAGAGGAGACGAAGCGAAGCAGGGACAAGUGAGGGCUGCAGAAGGAGCGGCAUAAUGCCAGGCACGGUGAGGGCUGUCCCGAGGCUAAAGCCUUUUCUGCGGCUGAAUGGGAGGCGUUGUAGCCGGGCGCCCCUCGGAGACCUUUGAGCCGGGGAGCGGGUGUGUGGUGUGGGAGUUGUACUGUGGGUUCCUUCUCCUUGGUUGUGGUCCUGGAGUGACUACCUGUUCUCUUCCUUCUAGGGUCCUGGCCCGUGUGCAGGGAAAUGUAUGCUGGUUCAGGGGGUGGAGUGGACUAGUGCCCAUGGAGGAUGAAGCAGUAGGAGUUGGCUGUUGCAUGGUGUGUUGGCAUUGAAUGGGCACAUCCUGCAGUUGGUAAAUGAUUGCUUGAAGCAGUGUGGGGUUGCCCAGGUCUGGCAGGUUUUUGUGCUUUGCCCUUUGUUGUUUUCUGUGCUCGUUGCGCCGAGGUUUUCCUUUGCGUCCUCGGCAGGCGCUUGCCUCCCGUGGGGAAGGGAUGGCAAGCGAGGCUGCGCAAGGGGUGACGGAGCACUGCGAUGCCACGUGUGGCGCGUGCCGGUUCUCUGGGCUGAGGCCUUCGCCCUGGUGUCUGCGUGCCCUCUGUGUGCCCUUUGCAGUGUGAUGAGGUGCUCUGUUGGCUUGCUGUGUGUUGUGGGACUUGCUCAGUGGUUUGCUCAUCCUGUGUUUAGUUCUGCUUGUUGGGCUGAUCACUUGUUGUCUGUUCUCUGUACGGUCCUGGUAUGUGUGGAGGAAAAGGAAGAGGGCUAAGGAGCGGAGCAGAACAGUGGUAAUGGAGGAAGAGAAGCAGGAUGCUGGGAGGUGGGGUGGGUUGGGGCGGGCGGUGUCUGGGUGUGGUGGGAAGGCCCUGGUCUGGCAUGGUGUCUAUGUUAGGUGAUCCCAGUCAGAGAUGCUGGAGCAGGGUGUUGCGGCAUUUGAGCUUCCUCUCAUCUCUUGCGGUGGCCUGCUGUGUCCAGGGGCCCCUCGUGCGGCUCUUCACGAGGCUUGAGAAUGCGUGCCUGUCCCUGCCAGCAGGUUUUUUGGCUCCUUGAGCUGUGUUUGCUACAACACUUGGGUGCCGGUGUCUGGCCCUCUCCAGGUUUUGGCGGGGCAGAAGUUUGGUGCGUCUUUGCCUACCUGGCUGUCUUGGCACAGGCUCUCCCACCGGUGCUGGGACUGGCUUGUCCUCUGUCCAUGUGCCUUUGUUUGUCUUGUUGUCUUGAAAGUUGUUGCAGCCUUUUUCUGUUGUUCCCAGAUCUGGCAGGAGACCUGUGUUUGCACACCUAAAUUGCUUCCCUUGCUAUCGAAGGGAAAGUCCUGAGGGGUCUGGCUGUCCUGUGACAGCUGUUGGCCGGGGGUUGGGGCGUAGGGGAUAAGUCGCGUGCGGCGUCUCGGCAGGGAGCGGCCGUUGUCCCCGGUGCCGCGAAGCCUCUGAGUUGUCGAUAGUGCCAAUUGCCUUUUCCUUACGUGUGUGGAGGAGCCAUCUUGUGAAGGUUGCAGGCCUAUGAAGCAGCCACUGGGAAGAUUUCAUAGACAUUCGGGCUGGAAGGGACCUUGGAAGAUCAUCGAGUCCAGCCCCCCGCCCAAAGGGCAGGAAGUCAGCUGGGGUCAUAGGAUCCCAGCAAGAUGAGCAUCCAGUUUGCUCUUAAAGGUGUUCAGUGUAGGCACUUGAACCGCCUCCGGCGGCAGGCUAUUCCAGACCUUGGGGGCUCGGACAGUAGAGAAAUUCUUCCUUAUGUCCAGCCCGAAACGGUCUUGUCGUAGUUUAUGACCAUUCGACCUAGUCGUCAUCCCUUGGGGCGCGCUCUGGUGAACAAACGUUCCCCCAGAUACUGGUGGUCACCCCCGAUAAACUUAUAGGUGGCCACCAGAUCACCCCUGAGCCUGCGCUUUUCCAGGCUAAAGAGCCCCAGGGCUCUCAGCCUGUCAUCAUAAGGUCUGCUUCCCUGAGCUCUGAUCAUGCGCGUGGCUCUUCUUUGGACUCUCUCAAGCUUCUCCACAUCCUUUUUGAAUUGUGGAGCCCAAAACUGGACGCAGUACUCCAGCUGCGGCCUCGCCAGGGCCAAGUAUAAGGGGAGAAUGACGUCCCAGGAUUUGCUUGAGAAGCAUCUGUGGAUGCAAGCCAGCGUUUUGGUUGCUUUAAUAGCCGCAGCAUCGCACUGCAGGCUCAUGUUCAUCUUGUGGUCAAUGAUGACCCCCAAGUCUCUUUCUUCCAUAGUGCUAGCCAACGUAGCACUGUUGAGCCUAUAAGGAUGCUGCAGGUUUUUCUUCUCAAGGUGGAGAACCUUGCAUUUAUCGGCGUUGAACACCAUCAGAUUCUCGUCCGCCCACUUGCUGAGCCUGUCCAGGUCAGCCUGGAUCGCCCGCCUGUCUUCUGGCGUGGAUGCUUUGCCCCAAAGUUUGGUGUCGUCGGCGAACUUGGCCGGCCCGCUUCUGACUCCAGUGUCCGCAUCGUUAAUGAAGAUGUUGAACAGUAUGGAUCCAAGGACAGAGCCUUGGGGGACCCCGCUGGUCACAGGACACCACGAUGAGUGACUUCCAUCAAUUACUACCCUCUGGGUCCGACCACGGAGCCAAUUUUCCAUCGAGUGGAUCCUGGAGGACCCAAGGUGACAAUUGGCCAGAGGCGAUCAUGGGAAACCAGAUCAAAGGCUUUUUUGAAGUCAAGAUAUGACAUCAAUCUCUUCUCCCUUGUCCAGGUGAUAGGUCACCCGGUCGUAGAAGGAAAUGAGAUUGGUCAAGCAAGACCUACCCGCAACAAACCCGUGCUGGCUAUCCCUUAAGACGUUGGCGUCGGCCAGUCCGUUAAGGAUGGCCUCUUUAAUUAACUUUUCUAAGAUCUUCCCCGGGAUAGAAGUCAGGCUGAUGCGCCUAUAGUUAGCCGGAUCCACUUUCCUCCCUUUCUUGAAGAUAGGCACCACAUUGGCCUUCUUCCAGUCUUCGGGCACGACACCAGAGCGCCAAGAGUUGUCAAAGAUCCGCGCUAGAGGCUGGGCUAUGAUGCUCGCCAGCUCCUCGAGUACCCUCGGGUGAAGAUUGUCAGGGCCGGCUGAGUCGAAGGUAUCCAGCUUUUCAAGAUGUUCCUUCAUGAAGUCAGCAUCAAUGGAGGGCAGGGGAUCACGCUCACCCGGUGAAGAGACCCACAGUGGGCAGCCCUGUUAUGAUUUCCCGAUUUGGCACGGUGCGAGGCCUCUACCUCUACUGUGUCACCUGGCUGGAGUGUGUGGUGGGUCUGAGCUCCCUUGGAGCAGCGCGAUGUAUUUGUCUUCCUGCUUUGUCACUUUUUCCACGCUUGUUCUUUCAGGUUUCCAGGAGGUUUUGUGCGUGUACCUGUGCAGGUGGUGUGUCCCCACUCUGUCUUCUGGCUGUGAGGAUGCCUGGAUAAGGAGCAGCGUGGUUGUGGCUGUGGUGAGCAGUGCCUGUUGGAGAUGAGGGCUCUCCUGUGGUGGCUGUGCCCUGUGUAAGCUAGGUGGGUUUUUGAUUGCCUGUGAAUAUCCAGUUCAGGCUGGGCAGAAGCAAGCGUUUGAGAGCUCAGGUAGUGGGUUGUGGUGCUGGAGGUUUGGAGAGGAGCUUACCUUGGCUCUGACUAGGUUGCCUUGUGUCCCCUGUUUGGGGUGAUGAGGGUUUUGUUUGAUUUCUAGUGGCUUUGAUCUUGUGGGGGAGAAGGAUGUGAGGGCAUGUUGUGCUGUAGUGAUGGAAGAUGGGGGAACAGGGUGCUGAAAAUUGGUUUGGUUUAGAGUAGCGGGGUGGAGUGGCUGGUUUGCUCUGGUGAUGUUUGGCUCGGGGGUGGGGGGGGUGCCAGUCUCUGCCUGUGUGUUGCUGCUGCCACUGGCCUCCCUUCAGUUCUGGGAGCUGUACUCUGUGUUGUCUCUCUGGGUGUGUCACUGGUGUUUCUUUCUGCUUUGAUGUUGAAAAUCACAGCAGCACUUUUUGUUCUUCCUUUGCUCUUCCCAGAGCUGGAAGGAUGGGAGUGUUUGCAUGUAAAUUGGUCCCCUCCUUUGGGAGGGGUUUGCUUGUACGCUCUGUGCCUUGUGUGGGGGUGGCGGCUGUGUGCUGCUUUUGGAGACUGGGGCGGGUGCAUCUCUCUCCUUAGUACUGAGAUGUGAAUACUGUUUCGUGUAGUACUUGCUUGUUGUUUGGGGGGUGAUGCAAAUAUCUGGACCCUGAGCGGGGAAGAGAUCAGGUAGAGGUGAAGUGACCUAGUGCCACCACCAUGCAGAAGGAGGUGGAAGAAGUUGGUGGCUGUGUCCCUGUCGUCAUUUCUGGUUCUCCUUGAGCGAGGCCUUUGCCUGUCAGGUGGAGCUGUGUGCGUGGACAGAGCCUGCAGCAGGUUUCUGAGGAUGAUGAUGUGCACCAGACUGUGGGAAGAGGGUGAAGCGUCCCAGAGGUGCUGGAGGAGGUGCAGUCAGUCCCUGGUUGCCUGGUUUGAGGCCUCUGGCUUUGUGGUGUCUCUUGGCUGGAUCCCUAUGCAUCUGUGGUCCCUGUGGUAGGUGGGCGAGUGCUUACUUGGAGCAGCGUGGGACUUCUCUCCAAUCUGCCAGUUGCCUCCAUGUUUUUGUUCUUGUGUUUUGGUGAAGAUUUUCUGUAUCUUGCAGGUUUCUUUUUUUCUCCAGCCCAGUCCUGGGUGUUGGGCAUUGACUAGGUAGGGUAGACGGCUGGAGAUCGAUCUGGAUGUUUCUGACUGGGUCCUGGUCCUUGGAGAGAAGUUUGAGCAGAGAAGGGUGGAAGAUGGAGGCAGAGAGGAUGGUGCAAGGUGUGUUUGUUCUGGAAGGGGGGUGGGGUGGGGUGACAAGUCCCUGGUGUACUGAGCUUCACGCUCCUGGGCCAGCGAUGCUCCGGCAGGAGGUUGUGGCACCAUGGGUGGCCCCUCUCUGUACCGGUGCAAGGCUGUGCUGGUGUACCUGGGAGUCCCGCAAUUGCCUCGGUGUAAAGAAUGGGAAUCGUUCCCCUCCAUUGUGGGCGAUUUCUGGUCCUUUGAGCAGGGUUUGCUUCUGGCAUGGGUGCAGAUCUUGACUCUGUCUAGGCUCUAGCAGGGCAGAGGAUUGGGUGUUUGCCUUGCUGAUGCCAUUACCACAGCUUCCUGCUUCAGUUCUGGGAAUUGUCUGGGGGUAUCACGGAUGGCUUGGAGUCAACAUCACUGCACUAUUUCUGUCUCUGUCUCUUUUGUCCUUUUCUUUGCUCUUCCCAGAAGUGAAGGGGGAGGCCUGUGUGCGCACAUGUAAAUGGCCUCCCUUAGUUGGGAGGGGAGAGCUGUGAGACAGGUCUUGCUGCAUCCUGUCAGCUUUGUGGGAGCUAAGUAGGGUGGUUUUGGGUGGAAGGGGCCCCUGCCGCCAGUGCUGUGAGGCCUGUGAGUUGUGCUGUUUUGUGGUAAUUGCUGCUUUAUCUGCAGCAGGGGGUCUUUUUACCAAGACUUUUGGGGCCGGGAGGAGAAGUGGAGAUUGGGCAGAAGAAGAGAAGACACCUUGAAGUCAUGAACCAUGGAGCUGCCUGUCAUUGGUGCUUGUGCUGUAGCUCUGUCGUGAGGAGCAGGGCAGGGGCAGUGACAUGCUGAGGGCUGGAGAAGGAGCACCACAAAGAUGGCUGUGAGGCCUUGGUCAGGCGUGAAGUAUGUGAGCCAGGAGAGUGGUACAGCACACACGCAGGAUGGAGGUAGAAAAGGGAUG
Alligator mississippiensis (American alligator) is the source of this 17925-nucleotide long non-coding RNA. RefSeq lists it as uncharacterized. The transcript has 23 exons. The record is from RefSeq and is a predicted model, not a curated record. Lineage: Eukaryota; Metazoa; Chordata; Crocodylia; Alligatoridae.